GCUGCCUGGAUGAGGACUUAGGCAGGCCUCUGAUCUCUGAAUCCAGCUUAGCCUUAGACACUCGGGCCCUAGUACCUAAAAGAGGCCUGUUUGUCCUGGGUGCUGUCCUUUCCCACAGGCUCCUGCUUGAUGUCUAAGUCUCCUGUGCACAAUAGGCCUGGCGUGUUCUGACAGCCCAUAUCUACAGAUGUAGACCAGAGGCUUGGGAAAAAGGAGCAGGAAAGUGUCCUGGAUUUCUGGAGGUCUGCUUUAAGGCUCGUCAGUUCUGCAUGAAAGGAAAAGCCGAGGAGGAGACUGUCUCAAAUCUCUGGAGGACCCCUGAAGUCUGCUGUGGGGCUUAACAUCACUUGAACACAGACAGGAGGAAGAAAUUGCAGCGCAUCAGUGAAGAUCCACGUGCAGUGUCAGGUCCUGUGGUAUUGGAGUUGCUGCUAAAUAACCACUCUCAUCUGGUCUGCACCCACCCAGGAACCAUCCAUCCUUCCCCAGCCUGGUUGUGCUUCUUCUGCACUUUAUCUGUAUUAUUGACUGAGACUGUGCUUGGGGUGAAGCAUCAUUGAUUGCUGGAUUGGUGAUUUACUCUAAUGCUUUAUUUCCUACUUUAUCUCCUGGAUCAUCGAAAGAUCAAAGUGUGAAGAUACUAAUCUGUGCCAUAGCUUUUGUUGAGGAAGAAACUGUGGUAGGCGUACUUAAUUGA
RNAcentral lists this long non-coding RNA (697 nucleotides) under Castor canadensis (American beaver). RNAcentral's name for it is "lncRNA (ENSCCNG00000003283.1)". Lineage: Eukaryota; Metazoa; Chordata; Mammalia; Rodentia; Castoridae. The record is from RNAcentral.